RNA transcript from Macrosteles quadrilineatus (aster leafhopper), 6380 nucleotides. RefSeq lists it as uncharacterized. The record is from RefSeq and is a predicted model, not a curated record. The transcript is spliced from 12 exons. Lineage: Eukaryota; Metazoa; Arthropoda; Insecta; Hemiptera; Cicadellidae.
UAAUGUAUGUUUCUCUCGUGUCUCUUCUAGGUAGGAUUCCAUUUACAUACCAUUCUGUGGUUGGGUGAAGUUUCUGUGCAGCUUCAAUGGCCAGCCACAGUGGCCUCAUCGCAUGAUUGGGAGUUUUGGCGUGCUGAGCAUUAUUAGAUCCCAGCAGACAAUGAUGGCAUACAACCAGGAGGCUGUAGUUACAAGCUCACAAGACGGAGCUGCAGAAUGUACUCGGAACACCACAGCUAUGACGGACAUUAAGCCAGAGAUUAAGGGCCGCAUCUAUGUGAACCCUCGGAUAGCCAAGGUGUUUCCCACCGUACGUAAGGAGGAGGUAUCAGCAGAGCUGGGACUGUACAAGACUAAGGAGAAAGUGAAGGUGGUGAAAAAACAGGUGUUUCCUUGGCUGGUCAAGUUUAACGCCCUGUGUCGCGAGGCUGCAGGCAGUCGCAGUUACCAACGCCUCGACGAUCUCAUGAACAUCUACGUCAGGAAUGUUGCUGAAGAUGUGAAAAAUUGCUACAAAAAGCCAAACAGAGCCUCCAAGUUGAAGACAAGGAUGAACGAUUACUUGAAGCUGUUCCAUAUGCUGUAUAAGGAAGUGAGAAAGCCACUGGAGUUCAAUCAUUACCUGGAAAGGAUGUCAGAUCUACUCGCUAUGUAUCUGGACAUGGAGAUUAAAGCUUCCAGAAGAGGCAAAGAGAAUCCUCGGACUAUAUCCGACAGACUUAUGUCAGCUCUCUUCAUCUUGUUGGACAAUUCAAUGAAUCAUAUUCUGAAAGCCAUCAUCAAGGCGAAAUUCUUCAUCAAGAUGUUUCAUGAAAUAUGCAUUCCAAUUAUCCAGCGAGUUCUCAGAGACAUCCCAGAUGAGCUAUCGGACGAACAGUACAUACAAUAUGUCCUGGUCUUUAAAAAAUGGAAGGUGCUGGUUGGCCGUAAGGAGGAGAGGCAGGAGAUCAACAGGCUAGCUGCAGCGAGGUUGACUCCUCCGCCAGGCUUUGCUGACUUGUACCAUGACUCUGACAAGUACACAGGUCUGCUUCCUGUUGUGGCCCGGGGCCGCAAGGAUAAGUUCACACUCAUGCUUAUGCAGGCACCUGGCUUAAGCGUCAAGGAUACUAGUGAGGGCUAUCAACACACCAGUUUCAACAUCGAGAGUUCUGUAAAGUCGUUGGAUGACCUAGAACUCAACGCUCCUCUGCUCACUGACGAACUCAUCGGCAUCUAUGACAAUGAUGAUCUUAAGAGUGAAAGGUGUACAACCAAUAACUUAAAGGAAAUGUGGACACAACUUGAUGAACUUGAAGUAAAUGGUCUUGAGCAACAAGUAAUGGCCGACCUGUUUGAGGAAGAAUUCACUGCCAAACUCAGGAAGCGACAGGAGGCAGAGGAAAAGCUUAGGCUGGAAAAAGCGGCUCGUAAAACUCCUAAGAAUAAGAAAACUUCCAAGCUUUUUGAAAACAAAGCCAUGUCUUCACAUUCCUGCGUACACAGUACAAUACCGAGGUCUUUCGGUAGGGUCCCAGCAGGACCCCUAUCAACUUCAAUGAAGGAGUUUUAUUGUAACACAAAGAACCGAAGGUCAGUAUCGAAGAUGGAAGCUGACAGCCAGAGUCAGGACCCGGAGAUCAUUGUCAUAGACGAUGACGAUGACGAACCUACAAUCAAGGUGGAACCUGAAGUUAAGUAUGAAGAGUCUGAAGCAGUCAAGAGAGAAGUAACCCAGCCUCCGGUGUUGAGGGCUGUGGUGAGGCCAGAAAAUAUAGAGCAACUGGCUUCAAUCGAAAGCAACUGUGAUGCAGAAGAGAAAUCUGUAGAUGUUCCUGAGGAAGUGAGAGAAAGCCUUGCAGUAGAGGAGACGAGAAAUGAAGAGAGUGAGACAAAUGACGUGAGUCGGGUUCAGGAAGUAGAGUUUGUCAUGGAUCCGGCAAAAGAUGUUACGGUCGUUGAAGCGGACGCAACCUCUUCAACGAUCGCCACAUCUUUCACUGAGGCUGGACAAGCUCCUUCUGAAGAACCAAGAGCCACCACGGAUUUACUGUUGGAAGAGAUUUCCAAAGUCUCGUCUGUGCAAGACAGUGUCCCCCAGCUGUGGAUGGAUAUUGACGGAAACUUACAAAAUCAACCAUUUGAGGAUCUGUUUGACCCCAACGAUCCGAACAUGUUCUAUCCCGACGGACCGGGAGACACUCACAAUUGGUCGUUCUCGCAUGAUUUCAUCCUCGGUCAGUACGAUGACGAUUUGUUCUCCCAAUACGAAUGCGGGAAUACAAACGCGUUUCCAGACUUCUAUAAUGAUCAGCAAGACAUGGUCUUCACCGGUGCAGAUAUUUUCUCCCCUCCUCUGCUGGACAUGAUGAGGGAUGAGCCUGGAGAGUAUCAGCUGACUACUCACUGGGAGGACUUGAGUAUGAUGGUUAGUGAGAGUUAUGUGGAAAAGAGUACGAGUCCGGAGAGAGAAGAAGACACCUCAACACAAACGGAGAAUGAAGGACCGACAGUCGUGUUUAUAGAUAAGCGUAAAGGCCGACGGGGCAAGAAUAAAAGUAAGGUUAAAGAACCAAGUCCUCCCAGCAAAGAGGUGGAGCCAGUUGAGAAAAAAAGCAAAGAGAAACCUGUUGAAGGUAUGUUUUUAUUUUUAUUUUUUUACUGUUUAUUCGAGCCGGAUGAAAUAGACGUUUCAUGCAGUUUCACUGGGGUAUUAAAUUCAUUUUUUGGUGAAAUCAUACGAUGACAUUAAAAAAUAUUGUAUAUACAUUUGUAUGCUACUGCUGACACAGACUGUAGAAACUGUGUAUGGUAAGAGAUUUUUCUUCAUUUUUUUACUGAAGAGUACAAACAAUAACAUAACGUAAUAAGUGCGUAAACCGAUGAAGGUGUUUUCAAUUUGGUCACUGUUACUAACUAAUUGAAAUCGUUGAAAUUUCAAGUGAUGGUUGAAAAAAUGAUUAUUUAGCUUCAAUAAUUUUCUAAAGGCAUUUAAUUGUAACACAAAAUUAUCAUAAAUUGUCUUAAAAAACUGCAAGGAAUGUCUUUGGGGAUGCAUGCACUUAAUGGAUAACUUUGGAAAUACUAGAAACGGAAAAUCUGGAGGAGAAAUAGUAAAACACGGUUACAUUUUAAGAAGUGAUGUAUGGAAUAUGUUUUUAGAAUUUUUAAUACAAAUAUCUGGAAUAUUGACUGGAAAAUCAAUAGUUUAUGUCUUUAUACCUUUAACAAAAUUUGAACUAUACUCUAAAUUCAAUGUUUUAAAAGUUUUUAAUUCACACAAAAAUUAAACUGUUGAACUACAAGAAAAACUUCCAAAAAUACUAACUACAAAAUUGUUUUAUACAAAAUUGUUAAAAUCAUUGAGUAAUGCAAUUUUGAAAUUAAAAAGUUUAUAUUCUUAUAAAUUUUAAAAUUAAUAAAUAUAAUUAGUUAUCACUGUCAUGACUAAAAUAUUUACUAAUGAAAGGAAAACCAAAAGUAAAGUAAAUUAUUGGAAAUCAUACAAUAAGAAAACUUGAAGAAUCUUUGGAAGACAUGAAGAUAUCUGGACGGCUUAAUGGCUUCAGGACUCCUCACAAGAACUCCUAAAGUAAAAUAUAACAUUUGAAUGAGACAUAAACAUACAAAUAGCUGUUUUUAACCAGCCUUUAAAUUUAUUUGUAAUAGUCAAUUUUCACUAUUUCCUGAAGUUGUUGUAUUUGGAAAUGAAUGAUCAUUACUUUAUUUGCACAGAAGAUAUGAUGAAAUCAAUAUCAAUAAUGGAUAAAUUAUUAAGUAAAGUAAAUUAUUGGAAAUCAUACAAUAAGAAAACUUGAAGAAUCUUUGGAAGACAUGAAGAUAUCUGGACGGCUUAAUGGCUUCAGGACUCCUCACAAGAACUCCUAAAGAAAAAUAUAACAUUUGAAUGAGACAUAAACAUACAAAUAUCUGUUUUUAACCAGCCUUUAAAUUUAAUUGUAAUAGUCAAUUUUCACUAUUUCCUGAAGUAGUUGUAUUUGGAAAUGAAUGAUCAUUACUUUAUUUGCACAGAAGAUAUGAUGAAAUCAAUAUCAAUAAAAAAACUUAUUUUUUAAAUCUGGAUAUCCGUCUUAACCUAAUGAAAAUACUGGAAGAGAAGAAACCCAAGUACGACAGCUGUGAUGUGAAGAUCACACAUUAAGAAUUACAAAAAUUAUAUAUGAAGUAUGUAUGAUAAAUUAUUUACUCAUUUCAUGAGAUAAAUGUUUGUGGAAAUAAUGUUUACCAAAAAUUAUUAACUCACGAGAAACCAUUAUUGAAUUAAACAUGCCUAUUGAAACAGUUAAUUGGUGUGGUGGCAAUCACACUAGUAUUUAAUUGUAUUUUUACUUUCAAUUUUAAAAUUGUUCAUCAGCAGAAAUUAAAAAGUAAUCAUUUGUAUACAUUUUUGACUGUAGUUAAUUUGGUUUUGUACAAAUUUCAAGCUAUGCAAAAUUAUAAUUGGCAUUUAAACUUCAAUUAUGAGUACUUUGCAUUUUCUAUUAAAUUAACCUUGAUGAUCAAUUUCACUGAUUAUGAUAUGACUUUAACACAAUAAUUUUUAUAACAAAGACAAAAAGGAUCGAACAAAAGAAGAGAAUGACUUGAACACAAUAAUUUUUAUAACAAAGACAAAAAGGAUCAAACAAAGUAAGAGAAGAAGGGACAAACGUUGAUGUAGAAAAGGAUAUCUUGUGGACAUCUACACACCUUCAGUUCUAAGGAUAAAAUCUGAUUUGAAGAUGAAACUAAUUCUUCAUUCCUCAAAGAAUGAGUCACUCAACACAUGAGAUGAGCUGUAAUAAAUUAAAAUGUUUACAAAAACUUGGAUUUGUUUUUUAAACUAGUAGGUUUUUAAUGUCUGUCAAAGAAAGAUGAGACAAGUGCAUAAAACAAUUGUCCAAUGUAAAAAUAUUAUCUGAAAAAUUUAUGAGUUAAGAGUAUUUUUAAAAUUGACAAUUCACAUAUUUAACUGAGUAAACAUCCUGAAUAGCAAUAAAAAUAGACCAGUAAUAAAAAUAGAUCUCUGCAAUUUCCAUUUUUAUUUAUCAAAUAUUUUAUUACUGUAAUUAUUUUGUUGUCAAAAUGACUUAUUUUGGAACAUCCCGAAUAGGUUUUAAAUUUCCAGUUUUACUGUUUUGAAAUAUUAAACAUUAAUAAAUUUCAAUGAUUUACAUGGAAAAUAAAUCCUCAGUAGGCCUACAUACAGUCUCAGUCUUCGCAGGAGAUUCGCAAGAUUGUACUCUUUAUAUGGAAUAUACACUGAAGAUGCUCAAAAUGUUAUUUGAAAAACAAAUAUCCAGAGAUAUUCAAGAUUAUGUUGCAUGUUUGGAAGAUGUACUAUAAAAUGUAUUAAAGACUGAAGAUAUUCAAGAUUAUAUUCUAUAUUUAUUUUGAAGAUAUACUGAAGAUAUCCAAGAUUAGAUACUAUGUUUGUUACAUCUGCUGAGGAUAUUCAAGAUUGUUCCCCUUGAAGAUCAACUUUAAAUGUUUCAGAUCUUUAUUUUUACUAAACUUACCAAUUUGAGAUUUUUUAUUUUAUGGAGAACCAUUAAAAUUAGUUACGUCCUAACAUUUUAUUUGCAUUUUUUCAAAUCAUUUAAUUCUUAACUUUACAACAGUUUUAAUUGUGGAUAUCCUCUAUAUAGCUGAAUAAAGUAAUGGAUUAUGCUCUUUAUUUGGAAGAUUGAGAGAAACUGUUAAGAAUUCCAUAUGUUGUGAAGAAUCAACCUCGCCAACGUUUGAAGAUCACCCAGAGACAACAAGUUUCACAAAACAACAAGUCUACAAGUUUCAUCAUUAAAUUGAAGAAUUAAUGAAUUUUAACAAUAAGCUAUCAUAGCUCAAAUACGAAUAUACCAAAAGAUCCAAGGAAGAUCAAUGAGAUGGCAAAAGGGGAAUAACCUUAAAUGAAUAUAAAUAUAUAUAUGAAAUAUCAAAACAUAUUGUAGCCUUGAUCGAAAGAAUUUUAGUUAAAUAAAAUUCUGCCAAUACAAGUUUAUAUUUUAUAGUUCAACAACAGGUUUGAAUAAUAUUUUUUCCCAAAGAAAAUUAAUAAAUUAAAAUUUGUUUCUCUUUUCAAUCUGAAUUCAAUAACGUCUGCAUUACCUUUUAUUGAAAUAAUUACUUUUUGAGUAACUUUUUCCCAAUUUUAAUAUUUUUUCAAUAAAAAAAAAAUUUUAUUAGCUAAAGUAGGCUACAUGUAAAUUAUUAAAAUACUCAAUCUAUCUUUAUUUUCCAAAACCUAAGAAGAAUUUGAAACAAAGAUGUGAGUAAAAAGUCAAAGAAAGGGCAAAGACGGAAAAGGGUUCACUUUGAAGAAGAGGAUGAUGAGGAGGAGGAAGAGGAAGAAGAACCUGAGCCAGAACCGCAACCGCAACCAAAGAAACGGAAAGGUCGGC